RNAcentral lists this transfer RNA (74 nucleotides) under Uromyces viciae-fabae. RNAcentral describes it as "tRNA-Thr (AGT) (tRNA-Thr-AGT-7-1, tRNA-Thr-AGT-7-2)". It matches the Rfam family "tRNA". Rfam says of the family: Transfer RNA (tRNA) molecules are approximately 80 nucleotides in length. Their secondary structure includes four short double-helical elements and three loops (D, anti-codon, and T loops). Lineage: Eukaryota; Fungi; Basidiomycota; Pucciniomycetes; Pucciniales; Pucciniaceae. The record is from RNAcentral.
GCGUCUGUAGCCUAGUUGGUAAAGGCAGAACUCUAGUAAUGCUGAGGUCAUGGGUUCGACUCCCAUCAGACACA